GCUCCGGUAGAAGAAAGGAAAAUCUUCCUCUUCUGCCAAAUAUAGCCAGGUUAAGUAUUCCGGCCUUUCGAGCCGGACACCCGGGUUCGAAUCCCGGCCGGAGCACCA
Molecule: transfer RNA, 108 nt
Filed under: Candidatus Bathyarchaeota archaeon
Lineage: Archaea; Thermoproteati; Candidatus Bathyarchaeota
Description: tRNA-Glu
Rfam family: tRNA (bases 39-97)
About the family: Transfer RNA (tRNA) molecules are approximately 80 nucleotides in length. Their secondary structure includes four short double-helical elements and three loops (D, anti-codon, and T loops).
Source: RNAcentral